ACGAACGCUGGCGGCAUGCCUUAUACAUGCAAGUCGAACGCGAAAGUCCCUUCGGGGGCGAGUAAAGUGGCAAACGGGUGAGUAACGCGUGGGAAUAUACCUUAUAGUACGGAAUAGCCUCGGGAAGCUGGGAUUAAUACCGUAUACGCCCCAAGGGGGAAAGAUUUAUCGCUAUAAGAUUAGCCCGCGUCAGAUUAGCUAGUUGGUGGGGUAAAAGCCUACCAAGGCAACGAUCUGUAGCUGGUCUGAGAGGACGAUCAGCCACACUGGGACUGAGACACGGCCCAGACUCCUACGGGAGGCAGCAGUAGGGAAUAUUGGACAAUGGACGAAAGUCUGAUCCAGCAAUGCCGCGUGAGUGAUGAAGGCCUUAGGGUUGUAAAGCUCUUUAAGUAGGGAAGAUAAUGACGGUACCUACAGAAUAAGCACCGGCUAACUCCGU
RNAcentral lists this ribosomal RNA (442 nucleotides) under uncultured bacterium. RNAcentral describes it as "bacterial SSU rRNA". It matches the Rfam family "Bacterial small subunit ribosomal RNA", at positions 29 to 506 of the family's 1533-position model. The record is from RNAcentral.